UGACUGCGUACCUUUUGUAUAAUGGGUCAGCGACUUAUAUUCUGUAGCAAGGUUAACCGUAUAGGGGAGCCGCAGGGAAACCGAGUCUUAACCGGGCGUUAAGUUGCAGGGUAUAGACCCGAAACCCGGUGAUCUAGCCAUGGGCAGGUUGAAGGUUGGGUAACACUAACUGGAGGACCGAACCGACUAAUGUUGAAAAAUUAGCGGAUGACCUGUGGCUGGGGGUGAAAGGCCAAUCAAACCGGGAGAUAGCUGGUUCUCCCCGAAAGCUAUUUAGGUAGCGCCUCGUGAAUUCAUCUCCGGGGGUAGAGCACUGUUUCGGCUAGGGGGCCAUCCCGGCUUACCAACCCGAUGCAAACUGCGAAUACCGGAGAAUGUUAUCACGGGAGACACACGGCGGGUGCUAACGUCCGUCGUGAAGAGGGAAACAACCCAGACCGCCAGCUAAGGUCCCAAAGUCAUGGUUAAGUGGGAAACGAUGUGGGAAGGCCCAGACAGCCAGGAUGUUGGCUUAGAAGCAGCCAUCAUUUAAAGAAAGCGUAAUAGCUCACUGGUCGAGUCGGCCUGCGCGGAAGAUGUAACGGGGCUAAACCAUGCACCGAAGCUGCGGCAGCGACACUGUGUGUUGUUGGGUAGGGGAGCGUUCUGUAAGCCUGUGAAGGUGGCCUGUGAGGGUUGCUGGAGGUAUCAGAAGUGCGAAUGCUGACAUAAGUAACGAUAAAGCGGGUGAAAAGCCCGCUCGCCGGAAGACCAAGGGUUCCUGUCCAACGUUAAUCGGGGCAGGGUGAGUCGACCCCUAAGGCGAGGCCGAAAGGCGUAGUCGAUGGGAAACGGGUUAAUAUUCCCGUACUUGGUGUUACUGCGAAGGGGGGACGGAGAAGGCUAUGUUGGCCGGGCGACGGUUGUCCCGGUUUAAGCGUGUAGGUGUGUGUUCCAGGUAAAUCCGGUUCACUUUAACACUGAGGCGUGAUGACGAGGCACUACGGUGCUGAAGCAACAAAUGCCCUGCUUCCAGGAAAAGCCUCUAAGCAUCAGGUAACAUCAAAUCGUACCCCAAACCGACACAGGUGGUCAGGUAGAGAAUACCAAGGCGCUUGAGAGAACUCGGGUGAAGGAACUAGGCAAAAUGGUGCCGUAACUUCGGGAGAAGGCACGCUGACACGUAGGUGAAGUGAUUUACUCAUGGAGCUGAAGUCAGUCGAAGAUACCAGCUGGCUGCAACUGUUUAUUAAAAACACAGCACUGUGCAAACACGAAAGUGGACGUAUACGGUGUGACGCCUGCCCGGUGCCGGAAGGUUAAUUGAUGGGGUCAGCGCAAGCGAAGCUCCUGAUCGAAGCCCCGGUAAACGGCGGCCGUAACUAUAACGGUCCUAAGGUAGCGAAAUUCCUUGUCGGGUAAGUUCCGACCUGCACGAAUGGCGUAAUGAUGGCCAGGCUGUCUCCACCCGAGACUCAGUGAAAUUGAACUCGCUGUGAAGAUGCAGUGUACCCGCGGCAAGACGGAAAGACCCCGUGAACCUUUACUAUAGCUUGACACUGAACAUUGAGCCUUGAUGUGUAGGAUAGGUGGGAGGCUUUGAAGUGUGGACGCCAGUCUGCAUGGAGCCGACCUUGAAAUACCACCCUUUAAUGUUUGAUGUUCUAACGUGGACCCGUUACCCGGGUUGCGGACAGUGUCUGGUGGGUAGUUUGACUGGGGCGGUCUCCUCCUAAAGAGUAACGGAGGAGCACGAAGGUUGGCUAAUCCUGGUCGGACAUCAGGAGGUUAGUGCAAUGGCAUAAGCCAGCUUGACUGCGAGCGUGACGGCGCGAGCAGGUGCGAAAGCAGGUCAUAGUGAUCCGGUGGUUCUGAAUGGAAGGGCCAUCGCUCAACGGAUAAAAGGUACUCCGGGGAUAACAGGCUGAUACCGCCCAAGAGUUCAUAUCGACGGCGGUGUUUGGCACCUCGAUGUCGGCUCAUCACAUCCUGGGGCUGAAGUAGGUCCCAAGGGUAUGGCUGUUCGCCAUUUAAAGUGGUACGCGAGCUGGGUUUAGAACGUCGUGAGACAGUUCGGUCCCUAUCUGCCGUGGGCGCUGGAGAACUGAGGGGGGCUGCUCCUAGUACGAGAGGACCGGAGUGGACGCAUCACUGGUGUUCGGGUUGUCAUGCCAAUGGCACUGCCCGGUAGCUAAAUGCGGAAGAGAUAAGUGCUGAAAGCAUCUAAGCACGAAACUUGCCCCGAGAUGAGUUCU
RNAcentral lists this ribosomal RNA (2234 nucleotides) under Salmonella enterica subsp. enterica serovar Amsterdam. RNAcentral describes it as "bacterial LSU rRNA". It matches the Rfam family "Bacterial large subunit ribosomal RNA", at positions 594 to 2812 of the family's 2925-position model. The record is from RNAcentral. Lineage: Bacteria; Pseudomonadati; Pseudomonadota; Gammaproteobacteria; Enterobacterales; Enterobacteriaceae.